RNAcentral lists this ribosomal RNA (1254 nucleotides) under uncultured Gammaproteobacteria bacterium. RNAcentral's name for it is "partial 16S ribosomal RNA". It matches the Rfam family "Bacterial small subunit ribosomal RNA", at positions 63 to 1342 of the family's 1533-position model. The record is from RNAcentral. Lineage: Bacteria; Pseudomonadati; Pseudomonadota; Gammaproteobacteria.
CGAACGGUAACAUUUCUAGCUUGCUAGAAGAUGACGAGUGGCGGACGGGUGAGUAAUGCUUGGGAACUUGCCUUUGCGAGGGGGAUAACAGUUGGAAACGACUGCUAAUACCGCAUAAUGUCUUCGGACCAAACGGGGCUUCGGCUCCGGCGCAAAGAGAGGCCCAAGUGAGAUUAGCUAGUUGGUAAGGUAACGGCUUACCAAGGCGACGAUCUCUAGCUGUUCUGAGAGGAAGAUCAGCCACACUGGGACUGAGACACGGCCCAGACUCCUACGGGAGGCAGCAGUGGGGAAUAUUGCACAAUGGGGGAAACCCUGAUGCAGCCAUGCCGCGUGUGUGAAGAAGGCCUUCGGGUUGUAAAGCACUUUCAGUUGUGAGGAAAAGUUAGUAGUUAAUACCUGCUAGCCGUGACGUUAACAACAGAAGAAGCACCGGCUAACUCCGUGCCAGCAGCCGCGGUAAUACGGAGGGUGCGAGCGUUAAUCGGAAUUACUGGGCGUAAAGCGCACGCAGGCGGUUUGUUAAGCUAGAUGUGAAAGCCCCGGGCUCAACCUGGGAUGGUCAUUUAGAACUGGCAGACUAGAGUCUUGGAGAGGGGAGUGGAAUUCCAGGUGUAGCGGUGAAAUGCGUAGAUAUCUGGAGGAACAUCAGUGGCGAAGGCGACUCCCUGGCCAAAGACUGACGCUCAUGUGCGAAAGUGUGGGUAGCGAACAGGAUUAGAUACCCUGGUAGUCCACACCGUAAACGCUGUCUACUAGCUGUGUGUGUCCUUAAGACGUGCGUAGCGAAGCUAACGCGCUAAGUAGACCGCCUGGGGAGUACGGCCGCAAGGUUAAAACUCAAAUGAAUUGACGGGGGCCCGCACAAGCGGUGCAGCAUGUGGUUUACUUCGAUGCACGCGAAGAACCUUACCUACACUUGACAUGCUGAGAAGUUACUAGAGAUAGUUUCGUGCCUUCGGGAACUCAGACACAGGUGCUGCAUGACUGUCGUCAGCUCGUGUCGUGAGAUGUUGGGUAGUCCCGCACGAGCGCAACCCUUGUCCUUAGUGCCAGCCUUAAGUUGGCACUCUAAGGAGACUGGCGGUGACAAACCGAAGAAGUUGGACGAACGUCAAGUCAUCAGGUCCUACCCGUGAGGGUAUCACACUGCUUCAUAUGGCGUUUCUAAAGGAACCGGAACGGAAGUGUGGUAGGGAACCUCUCAAAAUGAUGCGAGAUCGCGCCAUGGAGAGGUUGUCAAUCUCUACUACU